Molecule: long non-coding RNA, 830 nt
Organism: Colias croceus (clouded yellow)
Lineage: Eukaryota; Metazoa; Arthropoda; Insecta; Lepidoptera; Pieridae
Exons: 2
Source: RefSeq, a predicted model, not a curated record
CAUGUCAUUAUAUACAAAACAGAUCCGCAGAUACUUGGUACCAUUAUACAUUACACAUAUUUCUAUUAAUAACAAUUAUUUUUAAUACACAAAAUGGAACCAGGUUUCUAUGGUAUGGUUAUGCGUAAAAUAAAUUCAUAAUUUAAUUGUAAUUUUUUAUUGCAAAAUAAAACCACAAGCAUUCGGUUCUAUCAUGCAUAAAUAAAUAUUGUAAAACAUCCAGAAACCCAUCAUCGCUAUACGGAACCAAAUGCCUUGACUUGUGCACAAUGCAGAAUGCUUCUCAUCUUUAAACAACGUAUUUCAUUACGUCUUAAAUAGCUCAAAGUGCAAAACUCCAAUUUUUAAAGUAAAACGUCGAACAUCUGUCAAUAUAGGUGACAUUCAGCUAAGUAUUUCGAAUACGUGACGGCCGUUUUUUUUCUCCGCGAAGUAAGUUCUAUUGUUUUUGUUAAUUACCUUUAAAAUUAAAUGUGAAAAUGUUUAGUAAUAAAUAAAUAAGGAAGCAAUUGGAAAGAAAAGCAUUGGAGACGAACACCGAAGAUAAUAAUGAAGAUACAACGGAAGAUAACGAAGAACCUUAUACGUCGAUGCCUCUGGAGAAGCUUUCUUCACCUUCAAGCGAUAUUCAGGCCAUAUUACAUCUCAUUCCACAAUAUGCACAGAGUUUUUAUAACAAUCUUAUUAGUGAUGAUGCAAUAGAUGACCACAUAGAUGGACUAGACAAGGUGGAUUUCGAAAUCCAAUUUGAUGAUAACGUCGAAUAAACGUCCUCUAUAUGUAUUAUUUUAUAUAUCUUUUUAAUAAAAGCUUUAUUACGAUAUUAUAAA